GUAUGCAUAUGUUCAUGUGUGGAUAAGGAACCCUCUAACUAGCUUCUCACCAUUCUAUUUAAUCACAAUCUGUGCUGCUUUACAUUUGUUUUUAAAGUCUGAGUUUUAAAGUUUUAAUUUCGUCAAAAUCAUUCCCCUAUUUAUUUUAAAGUGUUAGAUUAGUUAGAAAUCCAUUUAGUUGUGUUUUUAAGUGUUUUGAGUCAAGUCAUAGUCCAAAUUCGUCCAAACUAGUGUUAGGUACUCAAAACUGCCCAGAAAGUGGUUUAAAGGCAGUUUUGAGCCUUUUAGUUGCUGUUUUGAGUUUUUAGUUUGUUUAGGUGUUUUAAACCCUAGUUUUGCAUUAAUUGAGUCUAGUUUAGUGUUCUACAUUAUAUUUUUAUGUUCUUGAGUCAGUUUUACAUUGAUUAGCAUCCCUAGUUAAUCCCCGGUUAGAACGAUCCCUAUUUGCUCAUAUACUACAAUUGUCAUCCAUAGGGUUUAAUUUGUGUGUCAACAUAAUUUUCACAUCAGUUAUCGAGGAAUUUUCUGGCGUGAUUCCGUGAUUUUUGGAGCUUGAAAUUGGUAAGAAUCUGUUCUACUCAUUGUAAGCUUCAAUUUGGUAUAAUGUUUCAUGAGUUUUGGUGCAAAAAUGAAGAAGUUAUAAAGAUUUUAAGAUUUUUUAGUUUCCGACGACGGCGACGAUCGCCAGAGUUCGAA
This 696-nucleotide long non-coding RNA is filed under the name Malus domestica (apple). Its description in RNAcentral is "long non-coding RNA (MDOM_LNC020180)". Lineage: Eukaryota; Viridiplantae; Streptophyta; Magnoliopsida; Rosales; Rosaceae. The record is from RNAcentral.